AGGACGAACGCUGGCGGCGUGCUUAACACAUGCAAGUCGAGCGGAAAGGCCAUUUCGGUGGUACUCGAGCGGCGAACGGGUGAGUAACACGUGAGUAAUCUGCCCCCUGGCUUUGGGAUAGCCACCGGAAACGGUGAUUAAAUACCGGAUAUGACCCGCCCUCGCAUGGGGGUGUGUGGAAAGUUUUUCGGCCAGGGAUGUGCUCGCGGCCUAUCAGCUUGAUGGUGGGGUAAUGGCUCACCAUGGCUUCGGACGGUAGCCGGCCUGAGAGGGUGACCGGUCACACGUGGGACUGAGACCACGGCCCAGACUCCGUACGGGAGCAGCAGGUGGGAAUGUU
This 340-nucleotide ribosomal RNA is filed under the name uncultured soil bacterium. RNAcentral's name for it is "bacterial SSU rRNA". It matches the Rfam family "Bacterial small subunit ribosomal RNA", at positions 26 to 365 of the family's 1533-position model. The record is from RNAcentral.